This 115-nucleotide ribosomal RNA is filed under the name uncultured bacterium. RNAcentral's name for it is "partial 16S ribosomal RNA". It matches the Rfam family "Bacterial small subunit ribosomal RNA", at positions 1355 to 1482 of the family's 1533-position model. The record is from RNAcentral.
UGGCGCGGUGAAUACGUUCCCGGACCUUGUACACACCGCCCGUCAAGCCAUGGAAGUCGGGGAGACCUGAAGCCGGUGUCAAGAGCCGGUAAGGGUAAAACCGGUAACUGGGGCU